GACGAACGCUGGCGGCGUGCUUAACACAUGCAAGUCGAACGGAAAGGCCCUGCUUUUGUGGGGUGCUAGAGUGGCGAACGGGUGAGUAACACGUGAGUAACCUGCCCUUGACUUUGGGAUAACUUCAGGAAACUGGGGCUAAUACCGGAUAGGAGCUCCUGCUGCAUGGUGGGGGUUGGAAAGUUUCGGCGGUUGGGGAUGGACUCGCGGCUUAUCAGCUUGUUGGUGGGGUAGUGGCUUACCAAGGCUUUGACGGGUAGCCGGCCUGAGAGGUUGACCGGGCUCCUGGGGACUGCGAUAGGGCGCAGACGCCAACGGGAGGCAGCGGGGGGGAAUACUGCACAAUGGGGGGACGCGUGAUGCAGCAACGCCGCGUGCGGGAUGACGGCUUUCGGGUGGUAAACCGCUUUCGACUGUGCCGAAGAGUGAGUGACGGUACUGGGUAAGGAAGCCCCGGCUAACUACGUG
This 468-nucleotide ribosomal RNA is filed under the name uncultured bacterium. RNAcentral's name for it is "partial 16S ribosomal RNA". It matches the Rfam family "Bacterial small subunit ribosomal RNA", at positions 28 to 507 of the family's 1533-position model. The record is from RNAcentral.